RNAcentral lists this ribosomal RNA (424 nucleotides) under uncultured bacterium. RNAcentral describes it as "partial 16S ribosomal RNA". It matches the Rfam family "Bacterial small subunit ribosomal RNA", at positions 355 to 769 of the family's 1533-position model. The record is from RNAcentral.
UGGGGAAUUUUGGACAAUGGGCGAAAGCCUGAUCCAGCAAUGCCGCGUGUGUGAAGAAGGCCUUCGGGUUGUAAAGCACUUUUGUCCGGAAAGAAAUCCUUGGCUCUAAUACAGUCGGGGGAUGACGGUACCGGAAGAAUAAGCACCGGCUAACUACGUGCCAGCAGCCGCGGUAAUACGUAGGGUGCAAGCGUUAAUCGGAAUUACUGGGCGUAAAGCGUGCGCAGGCGGUUUGCUAAGACCGAUGUGAAAUCCCCGGGCUCAACCUGGGAACUGCAUUGGUGACUGGCAGGCUAGAGUAUGGCAGAGGGGGGUAGAAUUCCACGUGUAGCAGUGAAAUGCGUAGAGAUGUGGAGGAAUACCGAUGGCGAAGGCAGCCCCCUGGGCCAAUACUGACGCUCAUGCACGAAAAGCGUGGGGGAGC